RNAcentral lists this long non-coding RNA (1869 nucleotides) under Callithrix jacchus (white-tufted-ear marmoset). Its description in RNAcentral is "lncRNA (ENSCJAG00000051053.3)". The record is from RNAcentral. Lineage: Eukaryota; Metazoa; Chordata; Mammalia; Primates; Cebidae.
GGAUAUUUUUCAGAUAAUUGCACUUGGGAGAUCAUUGAACUUUUUGAUUGUGUGAUUUAGUGUUUCUCUUUAAAAUGAAAUUUGAGAGCAAGAAUAUGGAGUUGGGGAUAUCCUACUCAUCUCCUUCCAAAGAAACAAGCAUUUGGCAGCCUUUCACAGAAAAAAAGCACAGUUGUGAGUGCACUGGAAUUCAGGUCAGAGGUAGCAAACCUCAGGAUAGCCCAAGAAUGAAGACGGCUGCUUUAAAUACUUAUUAUAUUGGGUAAUGACAGAAGAAAGCCACUGUACUAGAAAGGGCGUAGCCCAGACUUGCUGUAAGAGGGUGAUUUAUGCACCAGACCAUAGGCUGACACUGAUGACCAAGGACACCUGGGGCUGAGCUGUACACCCAGGGAAGCAGGUAAGUGUCAGGGAAGGGUGUGUGUGAGAACACCAAGCUGGUUGUGCCCACAGGGAGGGGGACUUGCUAAUACAUUGUCAGGAACAUCACAAAGUGAGGUUGUACUUUUAUUUCUUUUGCAAUUACGUAUUGAGUGUGCACAGUACUGUAGGGGCUGGGAGGGGAUAAAAGAGCUGAAUGGCUUUCUCUAGAAUGGUGGCCUGUCUCCUGAGUAGUAACUUGCUGACCCUGCCCCUGAAGUGAAAAAGAGGGUGAAGGGCUACUUGCUCAAGCUUGUUCUCUUUUCUUACCUCUUCCCCCUCUGUGGUUUCCUCUGCCGCUGAACAGGGCCCAGGCAGCCUGCCAUGAGAUCGUGCUCCAAGGACCGGCCGUUCUGCUGGACCCACGGGCUCCUGGUAUUCAUCAGCCUGCUCCUCAGUGUCUGCAGCUCUGCAGCCAACACUUCCGGAGCGCAUGGCUCUGCUGUGAAGGAUUCUGGAAACCACAUUUAUCUGAAGCGCAUCCGAGGAGGUUCUGUCUUGUUUAAUGUGACCGAGAAGCCCAUGGCAGAUGCAGGAGCCGAAAUACAGGAGGUUUUAUGGGGUUUGGGCACUCCGUUCAAGCACAGGCGGCUGCUGCAAGUCCGUAGAGGAGCCGACUCCCCCACCUGGUUGAGCCUCCAGGACAAGUUCAAGCAGAGGGUCCAUGUGCCCAGCCUGUGGUCUCUGAGGAUUGAGAACCUGGCCCCUGAAGACAGUGGGCCAUACGUGGCCAUGACCCGCUUAACUGAUGGACAAAUGCUUGGUCACGUUUUCUACCUGACUGUCUAUGAGCCUGUGCCUCACCCUGAGAUCCUGGCCAAGUCACUGUCUAUCACACCAGGCCUGUGUAACAUCACUCUGGAGUGUAGGGUUCCAGGGGCCACCCAGGAUCUGAAUGUGACUUGGGAGAGCAAGGGCCUCUUCAGAGAGCUGGAACAGAGAGACACACCAGGAUCAACCGCCAAGCUUUGGACCCUGGCUGUGAGCCUGCCCCUGAGCCAGCGGAUCGGCGAUCUCACCUGUGUGGUCAGCAACCAGGUGGAUCAGAAAGCUGCGACCUUAGACCUUGGGAAAGUCUGUGCCCAAGGUUUACACAAACAGGAUGUGACUAGACUGCUGCCAGGCAUCCUAGGGGCUUCUGUGGCUGUGCUGUUAGUCCUGGGAAGUGGGCUGUAUGUUUUGAAGACAUGUCAGAAGAAGAAGAUGGUGAUGGAAAUAAAAAGGGGUGGAGGAUUGCAGAAGAACCAUGGGGUUGAUGAUGGUGGCAUCCCCUUUGAGACGCUCAGCCAGCAAGUGCAAGGUGAGGGCAAGGACAAGGUGAGUGCCAGGGCACUGGCCACCCUGGGAACUCCCACGUCUCUCUGCCCAGCCUUGGGCUUCCAAUUCCAGGAGCUGUCACUUCUGGUCCAACUGCCUAUUUAUCUAUAUCUGGAUAAUCAACAGUAUUGA